UACGUAGGGGGCAAGCGUUGUCCGGAAUUAUUGGGCGUAAAGAGCGUGAAGGCGGUCCGGUAAGUCGGCUGUGAAAGUCCAGGGCUCAACCCUGGAAUGCCGGUGGAUACUGCCGGGCUAGAGUCCGGAAGAGGCGAGUGGAAUUCCUGGUGUAGCGGUGAAAUGCGCAGAUAUCAGGAGGAACACCGAUGGCGAAGGCAGCUCGCUGGGACGGUACUGACGCUAAGGCGCGAAAGCGUGGGGAGCGAACAGG
This 253-nucleotide ribosomal RNA is filed under the name uncultured bacterium. RNAcentral's name for it is "partial 16S ribosomal RNA". It matches the Rfam family "Bacterial small subunit ribosomal RNA", at positions 524 to 776 of the family's 1533-position model. The record is from RNAcentral.